Molecule: RNA transcript, 4170 nt
Organism: Sebastes umbrosus (honeycomb rockfish)
Lineage: Eukaryota; Metazoa; Chordata; Actinopteri; Perciformes; Sebastidae
Gene: thbs3a
Gene name: thrombospondin 3a
Exons: 24
Source: RefSeq, a predicted model, not a curated record
UCUCAGAAAACUACAGUAGAGUGUCAGUAAACUAAAGUAGAGUCUCAGUAAACUACAAUAGAGUCUUAGUAAACUACUGUAGAGUAUCUUGACUCGCGCGCUUUAUGUUAAUCACCUCCAGUCACUCAGCGCGCACGAGCUGUUUGGAGGAGACUUGAGCGCGCGCCAGCAGCAGUUUCCAGCAGCGCUCGUGCAGCCGACCGUUAAUUCCUCUCUCCUGGUCUCGGUCUGGUCUCGGUCUGGGUUUGUCGGUGUGGGUUCAGUUUGUUGUCCCGGUUCUCCCCUCUCACGGUCCGCUCGGUUCUUCCGCUUCUCCGUCAGAAGUCUCGACUCAAAGUUUGGUCUCCCGUUUCAGUCGGUUCUCCUCCGGUUCUCCUCCGGUUCCCCGUCUGACAGCUGCUGCAGCUCCGGUACUUACCCGGUACUAACCCGGCUCAGUCAUCUUUAAAGGUUUGUGACCCGGUUCUGUUGGCUUGGUAACCUUCUCCUGGUCCCGUUCCCUCGGUAACCGUCUCAGACAUGGGUUGGAGUGUCCUGGUGCUGCUGUCAAUCAUCUGUGCUGGACUCACGGCGGGAGUACUGGACGGACCGGACGUUCAAGUGAUCGACGUGUUGAGUCUUCAGGACUCAAAGCAGAGCGUGGCGGCGGUGGAGAAGCUGUCAGGCGGUCUGAGCGCGCUCAGUGACAUCUAUGUGGUGUCCACGUUUCGGCUGCCGGCGAAAUUGGGCGGCGUCCUGCUGGGUCUCUACAGCAAACAGGACAACAGGAAGUACCUGGAGGUCGCCGUCAUGGGGAAGAUCAACAAAGUCCUAGUGCGUUAUGUGCGAGCUGACGGGAAGCUCCACACCGUUAACCUCCAGAACGCGCCGCUGGCCGAUGGGCGGAGUCACUCCAUCAUCCUGAGGCUCGGUGGUCUUCAGCGUGACAACAUGCACAUGGAGCUCUACGUCAACUGCCGAUUGGCUGACUCUAGCCAGGGCCUGCCGUCAUUGGUGGCCUUGCCUAGAGAGGCGGAGAUGGUGGAGGUCAGACACGGACAGAAGGCCUACACCCGACUACAGGGAUCAGUGGAGUCCCUCAGACUGGCUCUAGGUGGUUCUGUAGCUAAAGCUGGAUCUCUGACAGACUGUCCCUUCCAAGGAGACUCUUCAUCCUACAACUCAGUGAGUGGGGAGUUGAACUCCAUCCUGGGUGAUCACACCAAGGCUCUGAUUGGUCAGCUCAUCAUCUUCAAUCAGAUCCUGGGAGAACUGAGACAGGACAUCAGAGAACAGGUCAAAGAGAUGUCUCUGAUCAGGAACACCAUCCUGGAGUGUCAGGUUUGUGGUUUCCAUGAGCCUCGGUCUCGCUGCUCUCCUAAUCCCUGCUAUAAGACGGUGUCCUGCAUGGAGAGUCUGCAUUACCCAGGUUACACCUGUGGACCCUGUCCACCUGGAACCAGAGGCAACGGGACCCACUGUCACGACAUCGAUGAGUGUGAGCUGCAGCCUUGUUUCUCUCCUGAAGCCUGUGUGAACACUGUCGGGGGGUUCACCUGUCACUCCUGUCCUCCUGGCCUGUGGGGGGCGCCACUGGCUGGAACUGGACUGGACUACGCCAAGACACACAGACAGGAGUGUGUAGAUAUAGAUGAGUGUCUAGAUCUACCAGACGCCUGUGUAUCAAACUCUGUGUGCAUCAACACUGUGGGUUCAUACAAGUGUGGAGGCUGUAAACCUGGUUUCCUCGGUAACCAGACGUCAGGUUGCUUCCCCAGGAAGUCGUGUGCUGCAUUGACCUUUAACCCCUGUGACUCCAACGGCCACUGCACCAUGGAGAGGAGCGGAGAGGUCGCCUGCAGGUGUAAUGUGGGUUGGGCUGGUAACGGUAACACAUGUGGACCGGACACAGACAUCGACGGGUAUCCUGACCGCCCUCUGCCCUGCAUGGACAACGACAAACACUGCAAACAGGACAACUGUGUGUUCACACCGAACUCUGGUCAGGAGGACGCCGACAACGACGGGAUCGGAGAUCAGUGUGACGAGGACGCCGACGGAGACGGCAUCAAAAACGUGGAGGAUAACUGCCGGUUGGUCCCGAACAAAGACCAGCAGAAUUCAGACAGCGACUCGUUCGGAGACGCUUGUGAUAACUGUCCCAACGUCCCCAACACGAACCAGAAAGACACGGACAGCAACGGACAGGGAGACGCCUGUGACCAGGACAUCGACGGGGACGGUAUUCCCAACGUUCUGGAUAACUGUCCGAAGGUACCGAACCCGAUGCAGACGGACAGAGACAGAGACGGAGUGGGAGACGCCUGUGACAGCUGUCCUGAACUCAGUAACCCGAUGCAGACGGAUGUCGACAACGACCUGGUGGGAGACAUUUGUGACACCAACCAAGACAUGGAUGGAGACGGUCUCCAGGACAGCAGAGACAACUGUCCAGACAUCCCCAACAGCUCCCAGCUGGACUCUGACAACGACGGCCUCGGAGACGACUGUGAUCACGACGACGACAACGACGGCGUCCUCGACGACUACGACAACUGCCGACUCAUCGUCAACCCCAACCAGAAAGACUCCGACCUGAACGGCAUUGGGGACGUCUGUGAGAACGACUUUGAUAAUGACUCAGUGAUGGAUCUGUUUGACGUUUGUCCGGAGAGCGCUGAGGUCACUCUGACCGACUUCAGAGCCUAUCAGACGGUCAUCCUGGACCCAGAGGGCGACGCCCAGAUUGACCCCACCUGGGUGGUCCUGAACCAGGGGAUGGAGAUAGUUCAGACGAUGAACAGUGACCCGGGUUUAGCCGUGGGCUACACAGCGUUUAACGGAGUCGACUUCGAGGGAACGUUCCACGUCAACACGGUAACCGACGACGACUACGCCGGCUUCAUCUUCGGCUACCAGGACUCAUCAAGUUUCUACGUGGUGAUGUGGAAACAGACGGAGCAGACGUACUGGCAGUCGAUCCCCUUCAGAGCCAUGGCCCAGCCCGCCCUGCAGCUCAAGGCGGUGAAGUCUCGGACUGGACCAGGAGAGUUCUUGAGGAACGCCCUGUGGCACACCGGAGACACACCUGGAGAGGUGAAGCUGCUCUGGAAGGAUCCACGAAACGUCGGCUGGAAGGACAAAACCUCGUACCGUUGGCACCUCAGCCACCGGCCGCAGGUGGGCUACAUCAGGGUGAAGCUGUUUGAGGGGAGAGACAUGGUGGCCGACUCUGGCGUUGUGAUCGACACCACGAUGAGAGGAGGCCGGCUCGGUGUCUUCUGUUUCUCCCAGGAAAACAUCAUCUGGUCCAACCUGCGCUACAGGUGUAACGACACGGUGCCCGAAGACUUCCAGACUCAUCGUAAACAAUUUCUGAUGCACAUUCAAGUGUGAGAGCUGCAGAGGACCUGAACGCACCUUUAAAGAAAUGACCCUGCGGGGGCUCCGUACUGCAGGUUCCGUCCUCCAUAAGAGUCCAGCUGAUGAAUGUCAUUAGUUCUGCAGGUAUUUAGUCACAAACCAAAGUAUUGGACAUGUUGACCUGAUGAUGGCGCUAGAUGAAGAGUCAGAGGAUCGUUAAAGUUAUUAUGAUUCAUCCUCUGAGGGGAAACAUGAAUCUAUCCAUCCCAUAAUAGUUGAGACGUUUCUUCUACCUCGUCUUUCUGAGCUCCAGCGGCGUUUCUCUGCUGCCGUCUGGAGGUGGGGGGUCGUGACCCCUGGGCCGGGGAGGCCGGGACGAGUGCAAUAUUGGAGGGGGGACAUGACAACAGUGCACCGCAUCCCGGACCUGCCCGACCCCGGGAGGAAACACGCCACACGCCCUGAAAACACACACACACACACACACACACACACACACACACACACAGGAGGGGAGUUAAAACACCACAGAGGCUGCGUUCAACGCAUUCAAAACGUUCAAAACGUUCAAAACGUUCAAAACGUUCAACUGUUCAACUGUUCAACGCAUUCAAAACGUUCAAAACGUUCAAAACGUUCAACUGUUCAACUGUUCAACGUACAGAUAUUAAUCAUUUUAAACAUGUUGUCAUUGAACAAAAUUCAGAGUUUAGCAGAACUGUCUGAAAUCUCUGUGAUAUUAAUGUUAUAGUAUAAUAUAAUGUGUGGAUUAUAUUAACAUAAAUGGCAUGACAUUUAAACUAAACUGUUGCAUUCAGGUUCUUUCUG